AGAGUUUGAUCCUGGCUACAGAACGAACGCUGGCGGCAUGCCUAACACAUGCAAGUCGAACGAGACCUUCGGGUCUAGUGGCGCACGGGUGCGUAACGCGUGGGAAUCUGCCCUUUGCUUCGGAAUAACAGUUAGAAAUGACUGCUAAUACCGGAUGAUGUCUUCGGACCAAAGAUUUAUCGGCAAAGGACGAGCCCGCGUAGGAUUAGGUAGUUGGUGGGGUAAAGGCCUACCAAGCCGACGAUCCUUAGCUGGUCUGAGAGGAUGAUCAGCCACACUGGGACUGAGACACGGCCCAGACUCCUACGGGAGGCAGCAGUGGGGAAUAUUGGACAAUGGGCGCAAGCCUGAUCCAGCAAUGCCGCGUGAGUGAUGAAGGCCUUCGGGUCGUAAAGCUCUUUUACCAGGGAUGAUAAUGACAGUACCUGGAGAAUAAGCUCCGGCUAACUCCGUG
RNAcentral lists this ribosomal RNA (454 nucleotides) under uncultured bacterium. Its description in RNAcentral is "bacterial SSU rRNA". It matches the Rfam family "Bacterial small subunit ribosomal RNA", at positions 8 to 507 of the family's 1533-position model. The record is from RNAcentral.